Jatropha curcas is the source of this 4015-nucleotide RNA transcript. It is a transcript of the gene named putative disease resistance protein RGA1, with no coding region annotated. NCBI's taxonomy places the organism in Eukaryota, Viridiplantae, Streptophyta, Magnoliopsida, Malpighiales, Euphorbiaceae. The record is from RefSeq and is a predicted model, not a curated record.
UUCCCUGGAAAAAGUUUUCUCAAGUUAUAGAGAACGGGAUUAAAUUUUCCUGCCGUUCGAAUUUUCGAAGAAAAGUUUCCUUUAUUAAUUUAUUUUUCGGGGAACCUUGUUAAAUUUUAAAUACAACAUAUGACCAGAAAUUGCAAAAGGAAAAGAAGAGGAAAUUGUACAAAACGGAAAGUCAACAAAUUUUCGCUUCUUUUUGUUUUGUUUGUUCUAUUCCAAUCCUUUAUAAAUCAGCUUUUUGCUUGUCACUGUUUCAAGUUCCAUAAAAAAUGGCAGAAGCAAUUCCAUUUGGUAUAGCUACCGAGAUAGUGACCAAACUUGGCUCUUCUCUUUUCCAACAAAUUGGGUCUCUUUAUGGUGUGAAAAAGGACUUACAGAAGCUUGAGAACACACUCUCCACCAUUCAAGCUGCUCUUCUUGAUGCCGAGGAGAGGCAAGAAAACAGCCAUUUGGUCCGAGAUUGGAUUAGAAAGCUCAAAGAUGCUGUCUUUGAUGCCGAUGACUUGUUGGAUGCAGUUGCAACUAGAGCUGCACAGCUUCAGUUGGAGACUCAUGGCUGGAGAACGGAAAAGGUACUUGAUUUUUUCUCAUCAACAAAUCCACUUGCUUUUAGAUACAAAUUGGGUUAUAAAAUUAAGGAGAUUAGAGGGAGAUUAGAUGGAAUCGCAGAAGAUAUGGCUAAGCUCAAUUUCAGGGAGAGGGCUAUAGAUUUCCAGGUUAAGAAUAGGGAGAGGGGCAAAACUCACUCUUUUGUGUUGACAUCAGAAGUUAUUGGUAGAGAUGAGAAUAAAGAAGAUAUCAUAGAAUUGCUAAUGUCUUCUCACAAUCAAGAAAGUUUUUCCAUUAUUCCAAUUAUUGGAAUUGGUGGUUUAGGUAAAACUACCCUUGCCCAAUUUGUUUAUAAUGAUGAGAGGGUUGUUAAAUUCUUUGAGAAGAGGAUGUGGGUUUGUGUUACUGAAGAUUUUGAUAUUGAAACGCUUGUUAGAAAAAUCUUAGCUUCUAUGACAAAUUGUGAAUUGGGUGACUUGGAUAUGGAUCUGUUGCAAAUUCGCCUUCGGAAAAACUUGAAUGAUAAGAAGUACCUUCUUGUUCUGGAUGAUAUGUGGAAUGAGAAUCUUGAGAGAUGGAUUUCCUUGAGAAAUCUGCUUGUUGGCGGUGCUAAAGGAAGCAGGAUUCUUGUGACUACUCGCAGCAGAAAAGUUGCAUCUGUUAUGGGCGUGGAGUCCUCAUAUUUUUUGAAAGGUUUAACAGAAGAAGAAAGUUGGAUAUUGCUGAAACAAGUCGCAUUUCAAGAAAGGCAAGAUAAAGUUGAUGCAAACUUGGAAGCAAUUGGCAAAAGAUUGGUUGAAAGGUGCAAAGGAGUCCCUCUAGCCAUAAAAACUUUUGGGAGUGUAAUGCAAUUCAAAACAGAAGAAAGUGAUUGGUUUGCAAUAGAAAAUAGUGAAAGCUGGAAGCUGUCUGAAGAAUCUAAUGAUAUUUUACCAGUACUGAAGUUGAGCUAUGAUCACUUGCCCAUUAAUCUGCGUCAAUGUUUUGCCUAUUGUUCAAUAUUCCCCAAGGGUUAUAGCAUCUGUAAAGAUCAGUUGAUCCAGUUGUGGAUGGCGCAAGAUUACAUUCCCUCUUCUUGCGGAAAUCAGAAUUUAGAGGAAAUUGGUGAUCAGUAUUUUAAUGAUUUGCUGUUGAGGUCAUUUUUUCAAGAGGUUGAAAAAGAUGAUUUUGGUAACAUAAUAAGUUGCAAAAUGCAUGACCUGAUUCAUGAUCUUGCACAAACCAUUGCAGGGACUGACUGCUUACUUUCAGGAAUUGAUGCUGAAAAUAUAUCCAAAAGACUGCGCCAUUUGUCAUUUGAUCGAUCUCUAUAUUAUACAUGGGAAGUUCCACAUCACUUGCAGCAGAUAAAAGGUUUGAGGACUUUCCUUUUACCUGUUAAUGAUCGCUGGAUAAAUGAAUCCAAUCAAGUCACCCUCAUUUCAAAUUUUAAACGACUGCGCGUGUUGGACAUGCAUUGUUUAGGUAUUGAAAAGUUGCCUUGCUCAAUUGUUAAGUUGAAGCACUUGAGGUAUCUUGACAUCUCUAAUAAUAGUCUCGUGGAAAGGCUUCCAGGAUCAAUUUGUAAUUUGCUUAACUUGCAAACCCUACUGCUAGCACGUUGUGAAAGACUAAUUGAGCUGCCUAGAGACAUUAGAAAAUUGAUCAACCUCAGACAUCUUGUGAUCAUCAAAUGUCCUAGGUUGAGACACAUGCCACCUGGACUAGGAGAAUUGACUUGUCUGCGGACAUUAUCGAGAUUCAUUGUGCCUCGCAACAAAGAGACUGCAUCAGAUACAGCAAAGCUUAAUGAACUUAAUGGCUUAAAUCUCCUCCGGGGUGGGAUAUGGCUUAAGAACCUCGAAUCCUUGACUGAUUCUCUUUUGGAAUCACAUGAAGCAAACUUGAAGAGAAAGAUUUAUCUCCAGUUCCUGGGAUUACAAUGGAUCCCGACAGAGGCUAAUGUUAGUCAGAGUAAUGAAGCACUUUUAGAGAUUCUCCACCCUCCUCCAAAUCUGAAACACUUAUGGGUGGAAGGAUAUGGCGGUGUAAAACUCUCAAGUUGGCUUUCCUCACUUAAAAAUAUUGUCAGAAUUACUAUUCGGAAUUGUCCCAAAUGCCGGAAACUCCCGCCACUGGAGCAUCUCCCUUCUCUCAGGUUUCUGCAUCUUCACAAAUUAGCUGCUUUGGAAUACAUAGAAUAUGAUAAUAAUGAGAUGUUUUCUUCAUCAGCAUCAAAAACAGCAUUCUUCCCAUCACUGCAGGAGCUCUGGCUUUACAAAUUGCCCAAUUUUAAGGGAUGGCAAUUGAGAGAAUUUAUUGAUGAGAAUAAUGGGACAUCAGCAGCAUUCACAGCUGACAACAAUCAAUCUCUCGAACACCUUUUUCCCUGCCUUAAUCAAUUAACCAUUGAAAGGUGUUCUAAACUGACUUCUAUGCCAUUCUUUCCCUAUCUGGAUUCACUUCAUCUUAUAAAUUCCAGUGUGCUGGUGACAGCAGCAUCAACCUUCUCUUCAUUUUCCUUUUCCCUCUUCCCUUUUUCAACAAUAAACAUUCUAUUUAUAGAGAAAGAUGAAUAUCUCGAGUGUUUGCCUGAAGAGGGAUUGCAGAACCUUACUUCUCUCAAGACAUUGAAACUUAAAAAUUGUCCUAGACUAGCGUUUCUUUCUCCAGGCAUCAAUUAUCUCACUCGACUUACAAGUCUGGAGAUCAGUGAGUGCAGCAGGAUUGAUUUGUUUCAUGACAACGGCAUUCAGUGGCAAGGCCUUAGGAACCUUUGUCAUCUAAUUAUUGAUUAUCUUCCUCAGCUAGUUUCUCUCCCAGAGGGGCUUCAGAAUAUAACUGGUCUGAAAGAACUGAAGAUUUUAAGUUGCUAUAAUCUAGUCGCUUUGCCAGAGUGGAUAAGGAACUUCUCAUUACUUCAAGAGCUUGAAAUUUCAGAUUGCUCUAGUUUUAAAUCACUGCCUGAAGGGAUUCAUGCACAUACAUCUUUGCAGAAACUGAAAAUUGCCAAUGGUCCCAGUCCCAGCUUCUUGGAUAUAACCCAAAGGAUUUCACAUCACAGAGGUUAACAUCAAAAGACAAAAAGUACAAACAAGGCAUUCUAUGCUUUAUGCUCUUGUGGUCUCAAACUUUUGCCUGCCUAUUGUGUUCUGAGGAUGUGGAAGCAAAUGGACCUAGUUUCUUUGAAGAUGAGAAAAUUUCUGCAUUUUCUUCUCCAGCAAAGCCAAAUAUUGUGAUAAUCAUCCCUUGCAGCAGCACCUAUGGGAAUCACAGGGCUGCUAUUGAGAGUGUACAUAUGGUGAUAAUCUGAUAAUUAAUGUAUAAUGAGAAUUAGAUAACCUGUGAACUGAUAUCUACAUUGUUUUGAUUUUAAGGGUAGAUUUGUCUUUUCUUCCUUGGGAAUGAUUUGCUAUUCUUUUGGAGACUUACAACUGUAUGGUUUAAUUGCUUAUAACAUAUUCCUUUUGACCCUGUUGAA